GACGAACGCUGGCGGCGUGCUUAACACAUGCAAGUCGAACGGAAAGGCCCUGCUUUUGUGGGGUGCUCGAGUGGCGAACGGGUGAGUAACACGUGAGUAACCUGCCCUUGACUUUGGGAUAACUUCAGGAAACUGGGGCUAAUACCGGAUAGGAGCUCCUGCUGCAUGGUGGGGGUUGGAAAGUUUCGGCGGUUGGGGAUGGACUCGCGGCUUAUCAGCUUGUUGGUGGGGUAGUGGCUUACCAAGGCUUUGACGGGUAGCCGGCCUGAGGGUGACCGGCCACAUUGGGACUGAGAUACGGCCCAGACUCCUACGGGAGGCAGCAGUGGGGAAUAUUGCACAAUGGGCGGAAGCCUGAUGCAGCAACGCCGCGUGCGGGAUGACGGCCUUCGGGUCGUAAACCGCUUUCGCCUGUGACGAAGCGUGAGUGACGGUAAUGGGUAAAGAAGCACCGGCUAACUACGUG
This 466-nucleotide ribosomal RNA is filed under the name uncultured bacterium. Its description in RNAcentral is "partial 16S ribosomal RNA". It matches the Rfam family "Bacterial small subunit ribosomal RNA", at positions 28 to 507 of the family's 1533-position model. The record is from RNAcentral.